Molecule: ribosomal RNA, 460 nt
Filed under: uncultured bacterium
Lineage: Bacteria
Description: partial 16S ribosomal RNA
Rfam family: Bacterial small subunit ribosomal RNA
Source: RNAcentral
CCUACGGGAGGCAGCAGUGAGGCAUAUUGGUCAAUGGACGCAAGUCUGAACCAGCCAUGCCGCGUGCAGGAAGACGGCUCUAUGAGUUGUAAACUGCUUUUGUACGAGAGUAAACGCAGAUACGCGUAUCUGUCUGAAAGUAUUGUACGAAUAAGGAUCGGCUAACUCCGUGCCAGCCGCCGCGGUAAUACGGAGGAUUCAAGCGUUAUCCGGAUUUAUUGGGUUUAAAGGGUGCGUAGGUGGGCGGAUAAGUUAGUGGUGAAAUCCUGAGGCUCAACUUCGGAAUUGCAUCUGAUACUGGUAGGCUAGAGAGCAGUUGCGGUAGGCGGAAUGUAUGGUGUAGCGGUGAAAUGCUUAGAGAUCAGAAAGAACACCGAUUGCGAAGGCAGCUUACCAAGCUACUUCUGACGUUGAGGCACGAAAGUGUGGGGAGCAAACAGGAGUAGAUACCCCAGUAGUC